RNAcentral lists this transfer RNA (82 nucleotides) under Treponema sp. RNAcentral's name for it is "tRNA-Tyr". It matches the Rfam family "tRNA". From Rfam's summary of the family: Transfer RNA (tRNA) molecules are approximately 80 nucleotides in length. Their secondary structure includes four short double-helical elements and three loops (D, anti-codon, and T loops). Further hydrogen bonds mediate the characteristic L-shaped molecular structure. tRNAs have two regions of fundamental functional importance: the anti-codon, which is responsible for specific mRNA codon recognition, and the 3' end, to which the tRNAs corresponding amino acid is attached (by aminoacyl-tRNA synthetases). tRNAs cope with the degeneracy of the genetic code in two manners: having more than one tRNA (with a specific anti-codon) for a particular amino acid; and 'wobble' base-pairing, i.e. permitting non-standard base-pairing at the 3rd anti-codon position. The record is from RNAcentral. Lineage: Bacteria; Pseudomonadati; Spirochaetota; Spirochaetia; Treponematales; Treponemataceae.
GGGGAGUUUCCAGAGUGGCCAAAUGGGGCAGACUGUAAAUCUGUUGGCUCAGCCUUCGAAGGUUCGAAUCCUCCACUCCCCA